Molecule: ribosomal RNA, 506 nt
Filed under: uncultured bacterium
Lineage: Bacteria
Description: partial 16S ribosomal RNA
Rfam family: Bacterial small subunit ribosomal RNA
Source: RNAcentral
AGUGAACGCUGGCGGUAGGCCUAACACAUGCAAGUCGAACGGCAGCACAGGAGAGCUUGCUCUCUGGGUGGCGAGUGGCGGACGGGUGAAGAAUACAUCGGAAUCUACUCUGUCGUGGGGGAUAACGUAGGGAAACUUACGCUAAUACCGCAUACGACCUACGGGUGAAAGCAGGGGACCUUCUGGCCUUGCUCGAUUGAAUGAGUCGAUGUCGGAUUAGCUAGUUGGCGGGGUAAAGGCCCACCAAGGCGACGAUCCGUAGCUGGUCUGAGAGGAUGAUCAGCCACACUGGAACUGAGACACGGUCCAGACUCCUACGGGAGGCAGCAGUGGGGAAUAUUGGACAAUGGGCGCAAGCCUGAUCCAGCCAUACCGCGUGGGUGAAGAAGGCCUUCGGGUUGUAAAGCCCUUUUGUUGGGAAAGAAAUCCAGCUGGCUAAUACCCGGUUGGGAUGACGGUACCCAAAGAAUAAGCACCGGCUAACUUCGUGCCAGCAGCCGCCGCCG